GGAGUAAAAGUCGUAACAAGAUCUCCGUUGGUGAACCAGCGGAGGGAUCAUUACUGGAAUCGCAAGAUCCCACAACCCUGUGAACCUACCGAAACGUUGCCUCGGCGGGUGCCCGGCCUCUGCGCCGGGCGCUGCGCCCGCCGGCGGCCCCCUACUCUGUCUCUGCAGCGUGGCAUCUCAGAGUCCCAGAAAACAAGUCAAAACUUUCAACAACGGAUCUCUUGGCUCUA
RNAcentral lists this unclassified non-coding RNA (230 nucleotides) under plant metagenome. RNAcentral's name for it is "partial contains small subunit ribosomal RNA, internal transcribed spacer 1, and 5.8S ribosomal RNA". The stretch from base 1 to 53 matches the Rfam family "Eukaryotic small subunit ribosomal RNA", at positions 1779 to 1831 of the family's 1831-position model. The record is from RNAcentral.